CUCGGCUGUAGAACUGUUGAAAACGGGAUCAACCUCCGGUCGCGAGAGAACCGCCUAUCGAUUGCAGGAUGGCAUCGUUCCUUCUGUUGUUCAGGUUUUUAAGUCGACUUGCAACGAUUCCAUGCAAUAUCCCUAUGGUAGAAUGCCCUUGUUGACAUAUGAAUGAUCCCAUUAUUAUCACCUCUGACGACCCUGUAUUGAGCUCCCUGCAGUUCAAA
Molecule: unclassified non-coding RNA, 218 nt
Filed under: uncultured fungus
Lineage: Eukaryota; Fungi
Description: sequence contains ITS1
Source: RNAcentral